Molecule: ribosomal RNA, 469 nt
Filed under: uncultured bacterium
Lineage: Bacteria
Description: bacterial SSU rRNA
Rfam family: Bacterial small subunit ribosomal RNA
Source: RNAcentral
UUCCAGACUCCUACGGGAGGCAGCAGUGAGGAAUAUUGGUCAAUGGACGCAAGUCUGAACCAGCCAAGUAGCGUGCAGGAUGACGGCCCUCCGGGUUGUAAACUGCUUUUAGUUGGGAAUAAAAGGGGGCUCGUGAGCCCCGUAUUGUAUGUACCAUCAGAAAAAGGACCGGCUAAUUCCGUGCCAGCAGCCGCGGUAAUACGGAAGGUCCGGGCGUUAUCCGGAUUUAUUGGGUUUAAAGGGAGCGUAGGCCGGCUUUUAAGUCAGCUGUGAAAGUCCGCGGCUCAACCGUGGAAUUGCAGUUGAAACUGGAGGCCUUGAGUACAGUUGAGGUAGGCGGAAUUCGUGGUGUAGCGGUGAAAUGCUUAGAUAUCACGAAGAACUCCGAUUGCGAAGGCAGCAUACGGCAGCGCUACUGACGCUGAAGCUCGAAGGCGCGGGUAUCGAACAGGAUUAGAUACCCUGGUAU